RNAcentral lists this ribosomal RNA (369 nucleotides) under Hyperolius mitchelli (Mitchell's reed frog). Its description in RNAcentral is "partial 16S ribosomal RNA". It matches the Rfam family "Bacterial large subunit ribosomal RNA", at positions 2086 to 2620 of the family's 2925-position model. Lineage: Eukaryota; Metazoa; Chordata; Amphibia; Anura; Hyperoliidae. The record is from RNAcentral.
AGACCCUAUGGAGCUUUAAACUUAUUAUCAUUUAUUUAACCAUAUAACAACUUAAAUAAUAAUAAUGCUCUUUAAUAGUUUUCGGUUGGGGCAACCCUGGGGAAAAAUAAAUCCCCCAGAUUGAAAAAAAUAACCCUUAUAUAAGAACUACAGUUCAAAUAAACAAAAUUUUGACAAAACUGACCCAGAAUUAACUGAUCAGUGAACCAAGUUACCCUAGGGAUAACAGCGCUAUCCAUUUCGAGAGUCCAUAUUGACAAAUGGGUUUACGACCUCGAUGUUGGAUCAGGGUAUCCUAGCAGUGCAGCCAUUGCUAAUGGUUCGUUUGUUCAACGACUAACACCCUACGUGAUCUGAGUUCAAACNNGA